GUAGGUCCCGAGCGUUGUCCGGAUUUAUUGGGCGUAAAGCGAGCGCAGGCGGUUUGAUAAGUCUGAAGUUAAAGGCUGUGGCUCAACCAUAGUUCGCUUUGGAAACUGUCAAACUUGAGUGCAGAAGGGGAGAGUGGAAUUCCAUGUGUAGCGGUGAAAUGCGUAGAUAUAUGGAGGAACACCGGUGGCGAAAGCGGCUCUCUGGUCUGUAACUGACGCUGAGGCUCGAAAGCGUGGGGAGCGAACAGGAUUAGAUACCCUGGUAGUCCACGCCGUAAACGAUGAGUGCUAGGUGUUGGAUCCUUUCCGGGAUUCAGUGCCGCAGCUAACGCAUUAAGCACUCCGCCUGGGGAGUACGACCGCAAGGUUG
RNAcentral lists this ribosomal RNA (370 nucleotides) under uncultured bacterium. RNAcentral's name for it is "bacterial SSU rRNA". It matches the Rfam family "Bacterial small subunit ribosomal RNA", at positions 527 to 896 of the family's 1533-position model. The record is from RNAcentral. RNAcentral also lists the same sequence under 1 other name.